This 492-nucleotide ribosomal RNA is filed under the name uncultured bacterium. RNAcentral's name for it is "partial 16S ribosomal RNA". It matches the Rfam family "Bacterial small subunit ribosomal RNA", at positions 29 to 507 of the family's 1533-position model. The record is from RNAcentral.
AGUGAACGCUGGCGGUAGGCCUAACACAUGCAAGUCGAACGGCAGCACAGUAAGAGCUUGCUCUUACGGGUGGCGAGUGGCGGACGGGUGAGGAAUACAUCGGAAUCUACUUUUUCGUGGGGGAUAACGUAGGGAAACUUACGCUAAUACCGCAUACGACCUACGGGUGAAAGCAGGGGAUCUUCGGACCUUGCGCGAUUGAAUGAGCCGAUGUCGGAUUAGCUAGUUGGCGGGGUAAAGGCCCCCCAAGGCGACGAUCCGUAGCUGGUCUGAGAGGAUGAUCCGCCACACUGGAACCGAGACACGGUCCCGACUCCUACGGGAGGCCGCAGUGGGGAAUAUUGGACAAUGGGCGCAAGCCUGAUCCAGCCAUACCGCGUGGGUGAAGAAGGCCUUCGGGUUGUAAAGCCCUUUUGUUGGGAAAGAAAAGCAGCAGGUUAAUACCCCGCUGUUCCGACGGUACCCAAAGAAUAAGCACCGGCUAACUUCGUG